Molecule: ribosomal RNA, 641 nt
Filed under: Cortinarius traganus
Lineage: Eukaryota; Fungi; Basidiomycota; Agaricomycetes; Agaricales; Cortinariaceae
Description: eukaryotic LSU rRNA
Rfam family: Eukaryotic large subunit ribosomal RNA
Source: RNAcentral
UGACCUCAAAUCAGGUAGGACUACCCGCUGAACUUAAGCAUAUCAAUAAGCGGAGGAAAAGAAACUAACAAGGAUUCCCCUAGUAACUGCGAGUGAAGCGGGAAAAGCUCAAAUUUAAAAUCUGGCAGUCUUUUGGCUGUCCGAGUUGUAAUCUAGAGAAGUGUUAUCCGCGCUGGACCAUGUACAAGUCUCCUGGAAUGGAGCAUCAUAGAGGGUGAGAAUCCCGUCUUUGACAUGGACUUCCAGGGCUUUGUGAUGCGCUCUCAAAGAGUCGAGUUGUUUGGGAAUGCAGCUCAAAAUGGGUGGUAAAUUCCAUCUAAAGCUAAAUAUUGGCGAGAGACCGAUAGCGAACAAGUACCGUGAGGGAAAGAUGAAAAGAACUUUGGAAAGAGAGUUAAACAGUACGUGAAAUUGCUGAAAGGGAAACGCUUGAAGUCAGUCGCGUCGUCCAGGGAUCAACCUUGCUUUUGCUUGGUGCACUUCCUGGUUUGAUGGGUCAGCAUCAAUUUUGACUAUUGGAAAAAGGUUAAGGGAAUGUGGCAUCUUUGGAUGUGUUUAUAGCCCUUGGUCACAUACAAUGGUUGGGAUUGAGGAACUCAGCACGCCGCAAGGCCGGGUUUAAACCACGUACGUGCUAGGAU